GAGGAAACAGAAUUCACAGCGACAGAAUCUGGAUGACACAAUUCCACUUUUUGACCUGAACUGCAAAACUUAAUUGUAACCUAAGGUCUAAAUUUCAGGAUGAUGUUGAAAUGGCUAUAGCUACCUGGAAGACAGCCAGGAUUUGUUCUUCCCUUUUCUUGUUCUUCAGAAGGAAAUUUAUUUUCAGCACAAAAAUUCAAUUAGGACAGCAAAAGUGAACUUGGCACCACAGGGAACCCAAGCUUUUCCAGGCCAUGACCUCCUUUCAAGAGCUCUUCAAACAAAAGUUGUUUCAAACUUGUAAAAAAACUCACAGUGCUGUUGGUGCCUGAGGCAAAACAUCUGGAUGGAAACCUUCAUGUCAGAAUGGUACCCCAAAACAUGCUGCCUGUGGUGUCCUGCCAAGCUGUCUAAGUCAGCCUUGGUUCAUUGGCCCUGAUCCAGAGAACUGCAACCUCAACCAGGAAGGCUACAUGCCUGCUAAUACUUAUACAGGUGUGGAGAGCUGAUCAGAAACUGCUCAAUCUGACUCAUUGGUGGCAUGACAGCUGCUGGGGAAAGGAAUCCACAAGAUUCAAACAAGGCUCCUCCUUCAUUCCUCCGUUUCCUAAUAGUAGACUGGACCAGUGAGAUAAUUCUGUGUGUACUUUUCCACAGUAGGAAGGGAGAAGGUAGUGCUUGGUUUGAGUUAGGAUACUGUCUUUCCCUUGCUUCCCACCCACAACAGUUGAUUUGGAUUCUGUAUGGUAUCACAUUUUGACUCUAUUGACAUUAGGACCUCUUGCCAGUUGUUUCUUUUGUUUCCCAUUUGUAUAUGAUAAAAAUCUUAAUAAAAUGCCCCAAAGAGAAAGAAUGACAU
Hemicordylus capensis (graceful crag lizard) is the source of this 859-nucleotide long non-coding RNA. RefSeq lists it as uncharacterized. The transcript has 3 exons. Lineage: Eukaryota; Metazoa; Chordata; Lepidosauria; Squamata; Cordylidae. The record is from RefSeq and is a predicted model, not a curated record.